Molecule: ribosomal RNA, 497 nt
Filed under: uncultured bacterium
Lineage: Bacteria
Description: partial 16S ribosomal RNA
Rfam family: Bacterial small subunit ribosomal RNA
Source: RNAcentral
GGGGGGGGGGGGGGGGGGGGGGGGGGGGGGGGGGUUGGGGGGUGGGGGGUGGUGCUUGUGCCGACUAGGGGAGGGGCGGGGGGGGGAGUAAGGCGGGGGGGAUCUGCCUUUGGGCGGGUGACAACGGGUGGGAACGAGUGCUGGUACCGCCUGAACACUGGAGCGACGAGUUGGACGUUUUAAAGGUGAGCUUGCAUCCCUCCACGGUGAGUCCGCGUUGUAUUAGCUAGUUGGUGAGGUAAAGGCUCACCAAGGCGAUGAUACAUCUCUGACCUGAUAGGGUGCUCGGCCACAUUGGGACUGAGACACGGCCCAAACUCCUACGGGAGGCAGCAGUAGGGCAUCUUCGGCAAUGGACGAAAGUCUGACCGAGCAACGCCGCGUGAGUGAAGAAGGUUUUCGGAUCGUAAAACUCUGUUGGUAGAGAAGAACGUUGGUGAGAGUGGAAAGCUCAUCAAGUGACGGUAACUACCCAGAAAGGGACGGCUAACUACGUG